GAUGAACGCUGGCGGCGUGCUUAACACAUGCAAGUCGAACGAGAAGUGGAGACGGAAACCUUCGGGCGGAAGACUUUACUUCGAGUGGCGGACGGGUGAGUAACGCGUGGGUAACCUGCCUCAUACAGGGGGAUAACAGUUGGAAACGACUGUUAAUACCGCAUAAGACCACAGCACCGCAUGGUGCGGGGGUAAAAACUCCGGUGGUAUGAGAUGGACCCGCGUUCGAUUAGCCAGUUGGCGGGGUAACGGCCCACCAAAGCGACGAUCGAUAGCCGAUCUGAGAGGAUGACCGGCCACAUUGGGAAUGAGACACGGACCAAACUCCUACGGGAGGCAGCAGUGGGGAAUAUUGCACAAUGGGGGAAACCCUGAUGCAGCGACGCCGCGUGAGUGAAGAAGUAUUUCGGUAUGUAAAGCUCUAUCAGCAGGGAAGAAAAUGACAGUACCUGAGUAAGAAGCCCCGGCUAACUACGUG
This 478-nucleotide ribosomal RNA is filed under the name uncultured bacterium. RNAcentral describes it as "partial 16S ribosomal RNA". It matches the Rfam family "Bacterial small subunit ribosomal RNA", at positions 28 to 507 of the family's 1533-position model. The record is from RNAcentral.